RNAcentral lists this ribosomal RNA (497 nucleotides) under uncultured bacterium. Its description in RNAcentral is "partial 16S ribosomal RNA". It matches the Rfam family "Bacterial small subunit ribosomal RNA", at positions 29 to 523 of the family's 1533-position model. The record is from RNAcentral.
AUUGAACGCUGGCGGCUUGCCUUACACAUGCAAGUCGAACGGUAACGCGGGGCAACCUGGCGACGAGUGGCGAACGGGUGAGUAAAGCAUCGGAACGUGCCCAGUAGUGGGGGAUAGCCCGGCGAAAGCCGGAUUAAUACCGCAUACGACCUAUGGGUGAAGGGGGGGAUCGCAAGACCUCUCGCUGUUGGAGCGGCCGAUGUCAGAUUAGGUAGUUGGUGGGGUAAAGGCCUACCAAGCCGACAAUCUGUAGCUGGUCUGAGAGGACGACCAGCCACACUGGGACUGAGACACGGCCCAGACUCCUACGGGAGGCAGCAGUGGGGAAUCUUGCGCAAUGGGCGAAAGCCUGACGCAGCGACGCCGCGUGGAGGAUGAAGGUCUUCGGAUUGUAAACUUCUGUUAAGUGGGAAGAAAACCUUAGUUCUAAUAAAGCUAGGGCAUGACGGUACCAUUAAAGAAAGCACCGGCUAACUACGUGCCAGCCGCCGCGGUAA